CAAUCCAUUCAUGGAUAAAUUGGUAGAUAGCUGAAUGGCUUAUCAUUGGAAUGGGACCAGUGGCCUUAUAAGAAGAGAGACCUGAGCUAGCACACACAGCCCCCUCACAUGGGCCACCUCAGUACUCUGCAGGGUCCCCACCAGCAGGAAAGCCUUCACCAGAUAUGGCCCUUUGACUCUGACUUCUCAGCCUCCAUAACCACCUUCUGAUUGGCAUGGUCCAUUAUUACAACUGUUUACUACAGGUAGUCAAACAGUGAACAUGAUUCCUUCAGAGAAAGGACCCAAGCUGCCUACAAGCUCCAGUUUGGCAUCCCCU
This is a long non-coding RNA of Homo sapiens (human), 319 nucleotides long. RefSeq lists it as uncharacterized. The transcript has 3 exons. Lineage: Eukaryota; Metazoa; Chordata; Mammalia; Primates; Hominidae. The record is from RefSeq and is a predicted model, not a curated record.